UGUUGCUUUGCUUUUUCGAUUAUGCUAGUUUGUGCAUAUUGAACUGCUUUGGUGAUUGACAUGCAGCUUUGGUUAAUUGUUGAACUCUCUAUGUUCUCUUUUGUCGGAGGAAAACAGAAUUCACAUAUGCAGAGAUAAAGGUUUGCAUGUCAUUAUCAUGGACCAAUGCUCUGGUAAGAAGACUGGUGACACUAUGGCUGUCUCUAGGAAGGGUUCUAGCCUUAUUUUGAGAGAUACUGCUAACAAAAGUUUUAAAUGAUAAUUGUUGGAAUGAAAGAAGAUGGACGUCUACCUAUAUCAAAAGUUAGGCUUAAUUCAGUUUCUUUUUUUAGCAAAUAUUUUACAUGAUUGCAUACGAUCGGUUAUUUUAGUAUUAUUGAAGACUUAUUCAUUUAUAA
Long non-coding RNA from Mercurialis annua (annual mercury), 398 nucleotides. RefSeq lists it as uncharacterized. The transcript has 2 exons. The record is from RefSeq and is a predicted model, not a curated record. Lineage: Eukaryota; Viridiplantae; Streptophyta; Magnoliopsida; Malpighiales; Euphorbiaceae.